This 19-nucleotide unclassified non-coding RNA is filed under the name Mus musculus (house mouse). Its description in RNAcentral is "RNA-G-3AU-uucg from Mus musculus (PDB 8I46, chain A)". Lineage: Eukaryota; Metazoa; Chordata; Mammalia; Rodentia; Muridae. The record is from RNAcentral.
GGAUGCUUUCGAGCGAUCC